Long non-coding RNA from Drosophila mauritiana, 654 nucleotides. RefSeq lists it as uncharacterized. The record is from RefSeq and is a predicted model, not a curated record. NCBI's taxonomy places the organism in Eukaryota, Metazoa, Arthropoda, Insecta, Diptera, Drosophilidae. The transcript has 3 exons.
UGCAAUAUUAAGUAGCUGGAAUAUACUAGACGGGAUGCAACCCUUAUCAGCUGCACCCGGAAAGUUUUGGGAUAAUUCAAUUAUCGCAAAAUGAGUGGGUUUCAGUUGAUCGUGAUUUCCGCCAAUGGCCUGCACCUCGGCUUGAGUUUCCGGAUGUUUUUCUUUCUAAUAAAACAGUCGACAAGUCAAGUUGUGGAAAGUUCGUGUCUGAAAAAGAAUCGUAACCUGCGGACGUGAGAAUUUUUUUUGUCGCGGGAAAUAGUAUUAGAGCAUAGAUUUAAGCCGGAAAAAUCUUUGCUUGGAGCGGCCAUCGCGCAGCAGCAUUGCCGUCCAGACCCCAAGGUUCGACUGGGGCAGCCGCGGAAAUUGAAGGCGGAAAAAUCUUCGCUUGGCGUAGCCAUCGCGCAUCAGCAUCACUGCCCUGACCCCAAGGGUCGACUGGGGCAGCCACAGGCGGGCAGAAGGAGAAGAAGAGGGAGCGAGCAGCGGAAGAGGAUAAGCAGCAGAAGCGGGACCGCAACCGGCGAUAAACCGGGAACCUAGGAUGAUUUUUUAAUUUAAUAGCCAAAAGGCAACAACUCCGAAAGUUAGGUUAAAGGCGCGGAAAAUUUAGCGGGACUUAGUCCAGAAUGCACAGUGCCAGUUCCUGACGAA